GAGCCGGUAAGUAAAUUUUAAAACAGACUUUAUUAAAUUACUAAAAAAAAAGGGUAUGGGGAAGGGAGGCUAAAAUCCAACCCUCCUUUUGGAGAGUAACAAUCUCGAGUCUCUUAGACUCCGUCACGGGAGAUCUCAGGUGAGUCCUUCACUCCUCUUUCCUUCUGGCUAUGUGACGACAAUCAGCUUAUUCACAAGUGCCCCUUUGUUCUGACUUGCAGGACGACUGUCCAGGGCCCUCUCCUUUCCUGGACGUAACAGAUACAAGUGGUAAGUAUUGAGAGUUUGGAUGCACAAUGGAUACCUGCUGCUACCUUUGACGAACUCCGAGGCGGCCCAGCGGGUUGUACUCCCGGUCGUCCAGCUGCUGGGGGAACUGCACAAGGGCUACCGGGUUCCAACUAAAACCGUACUGGUAAGUGUACGGGAGGGGGUUUCCGCGGUCUCUGUAUCCUGAGUGACGAGUCGACAUGCAGGUAGACGCUUCAAAGGGACCCGCUAGAUCUGCACAAAAGCAUAAGUGUAAGUGUAACAGGACUGGACACGGAUAGUGGACAGAGGGGCCGCUGGCUCUUCACUCGGAGGCACAAGUAAGUCCGUAGGAAAGACAACUGGGGUUUCACUUGAGCAUGCAGGCGAGUGUACAACACAAUAUGCUGGCUUUAGCUUUGGGCAUAAGGUAAGUACAUCCAAUAUAACUGGGACUUCACUUGGGCAUACAGGAGCGUACAACACAAUAUGCUGGCUUUAGCUUUGGGCAUAAAGGUAAGUACAUCCAAUAUAACUGGGACUUCACUUGGGCAUACAGGAGCGUAAAACACAAUAUGCUGGCUUUAGCUUUGGGCAUAAGGUAAGUACAUCAAAGGUAACUGGGACUUCACUCUGGGCAGACAGGUAAUAAUACACGCACAGCUGAUUUCCUCCUACAGCAGCCAACUCCUCACCAUUAAUACUUCCCAGUAGAUCCACACUGUUCUUACUUGAAAUUGUUUCCCACCACCGUCACGUGGGGAAGAAGGGUCAGGAUGUCAUCGACGGCAUAUAAUUGGAGAUGUUUUCUUCGAGCCUCGGUAUUCACUUCCUUCACAGGAUUUCGUCGGGCCUGAAAGGUGGUUGUUGACGACACAACACAGCACAACACUGCAAUUUUCAAGUGUAUACACUCACAGCAAAGGACAAAGACUCACCCACUGCACUCCACACACUCUGGUGAAUUUAGGGUCAACACCCCGUCUGACCAAAGACUCUUCCUGGAAGUCGUGAAGACACUGAUGCCACGAAUAUUCAGAUUUAAACGUUGCCGCCACAACAGCCCAACAUCCUCUCUCGCUCACUGGUCCCGGCUCACCCACAAUCCUCCUCCACAGUGGGGCCGCUCACAUACUAUGCCACAAACUCACAAAACGCUCACAGAUGGUUCACUCUAGAUGAUUAUACUGCUGUACGAUGGUUUAGGGUACUCACACCGUUACUACACGAGGUCUCUUUUCCCUCUUCUUUCCAGCUCCUGGGUACUUCUCCUGCUGCCACGUGCCCUGUCGAAAAGGCCUCCUUCGGCGAUACUUCCGGUGAGUCUUCCUGUUUUCAACCACUCAGAAUUUGUUACACAUGUCCAUGGAGCAUUUCACAGUUAAGUAGACAUUCCAAUAUACUCAGCCCGGUGUCUGUUUCUGCCAAACCCUUGUCUCCGUCUUUGCCCAGCCAACAAUAUCCUCUGCCUUCUUUCCACGGUACUCGCCCAAACACUCCAACUCUCUCGCCGUAUCGGCUGAAAUAAAACAAAGAACUUUUUCCCCCCCUCUGCAGUUUCUGAGGCCCUCUUUAUACUCCUCCUUCUCUUCAUACUGCCCAAUCCACGAUCGCCCCGUUCAUCUAUCCACCUGCGAUCAAUAAAACCCUGAUUUCCCUUCCCGGAGUUCCCGGUGUUUGAGAAUUAUGGUCCGGGUGGAACCAAUCUCCGUCAUUUUUUAGUUCCGCCCUUACGAAGUCAC
Cyprinus carpio carpio is the source of this 1991-nucleotide long non-coding RNA. The record is from Ensembl. NCBI's taxonomy places the organism in Eukaryota, Metazoa, Chordata, Actinopteri, Cypriniformes, Cyprinidae.